RNAcentral lists this ribosomal RNA (478 nucleotides) under uncultured bacterium. RNAcentral describes it as "partial 16S ribosomal RNA". It matches the Rfam family "Bacterial small subunit ribosomal RNA", at positions 28 to 507 of the family's 1533-position model. The record is from RNAcentral.
GAUGAACGCUGGCGGCGUGCCUAACACAUGCAAGUCGAACGGAGUCCAGCCUUUAAGACCUUCGGGUCAAAGAGGGGAAGACUGAGUGGCGGACGGGUGAGUAACACGUGGGCAACCUGGCUCAUAGAGGGGGAUAACAGAGAGAAAUUUCUGCUAAUACCGCAUAAGCACACACUGCCGCAUAGCAGAGGGGGAAAAGAGAAUCGCUAUGAGAUGGACCCGCGUCUGAUUAGCCAGUUGGCAGGGUAAGAGCCUACCAAAGCGACGAUCAGUAGCCGAUCUGAGAGGAUGAACGGCCACAUUGGGACUGAGACACAGCCCAAACUCCUACGGGAGGCAGCAGUGGGUGAUAUUGCACAAUGGGGGGCACGCUGAUGCAGCGACGCCGCGUGAGUGAAGAAGUAUGUCGGUAUGUCAAGCUCUAUCAGCAGGGAAGAUAAUGACAGUACCUGAAGAAGAAGCCCCGGCUAACUACGUG